CACAAAGCAAAUAAAAUGGAUCUCAACACGACAACUAUCACAUUGCAAGGACGACAAACUUUUAUGAACACAUCAGUCCCAGAAACAUGUUACAUCAUGACUUGUAGUGAGGAUGACAACUCGGGGGACUCUGUGGUGUACCUGGACAACAUGGGCUAUCAGUGCCGCCAGAACACUAAGAUGGUAUAUUCUCAGAGCAAUGAUGGUAUUUUCGCUCAGGACGAUGGUUGUAGGUUGGUCCUUGGAUUGGGUCCAUCACCAACUUUUUAUGGUUCUGAUUACCGGACAGAUGUUAAUAAAUGCAAAGACUCGGCAAAUUUGUUCGACCAGAUCUUGACUUCUGGAGCUGAUUAUGGGAUGUUGAAGCUCGGGCUGUCAAG
This 380-nucleotide unclassified non-coding RNA is filed under the name Hevea brasiliensis (rubber tree). The record is from RNAcentral. Lineage: Eukaryota; Viridiplantae; Streptophyta; Magnoliopsida; Malpighiales; Euphorbiaceae.